Aphidius gifuensis is the source of this 249-nucleotide long non-coding RNA. RefSeq lists it as uncharacterized. The record is from RefSeq and is a predicted model, not a curated record. The transcript is spliced from 3 exons. NCBI's taxonomy places the organism in Eukaryota, Metazoa, Arthropoda, Insecta, Hymenoptera, Braconidae.
UUGAUUGUUUUUUUUUUUGAGGAAAAACAAAUAUUUCUUGUGUCAAACUGUCAACCGGAUCAGCUGAUGUUAUUAUGUUACAUUUGUCAAUUGAGACUUGGAACAAUUGAUGGAUUUCGAUGGACGAUUAUUAGAAGGAUCACCUUGGGUUGUUCUUAGGGCAAUGUUGGUAGCUUGAUGAUGACGUGGAUCAAAUUGAUUGCAUUGAUUUUGAAAUGGAAUAUUGCCUUGAGAAUAUACAGAUGGUAU